This 73-nucleotide transfer RNA is filed under the name Stegodyphus mimosarum. It matches the Rfam family "tRNA". From Rfam's summary of the family: Transfer RNA (tRNA) molecules are approximately 80 nucleotides in length. Their secondary structure includes four short double-helical elements and three loops (D, anti-codon, and T loops). Further hydrogen bonds mediate the characteristic L-shaped molecular structure. tRNAs have two regions of fundamental functional importance: the anti-codon, which is responsible for specific mRNA codon recognition, and the 3' end, to which the tRNAs corresponding amino acid is attached (by aminoacyl-tRNA synthetases). tRNAs cope with the degeneracy of the genetic code in two manners: having more than one tRNA (with a specific anti-codon) for a particular amino acid; and 'wobble' base-pairing, i.e. permitting non-standard base-pairing at the 3rd anti-codon position. The record is from Rfam by way of RNAcentral. Lineage: Eukaryota; Metazoa; Arthropoda; Arachnida; Araneae; Eresidae.
GCCUUUGUGGUGUAGUGGUCAGCACGCUCGACGCGUAUUCGAGAGGUCCGUGGUUCGAGUCCCGGUGAGGGCA